AAAUCGUGAGGGUUCAAGUCCCUCUAUCCCCAAUCAAAAUGCUUUAUGCA
This 50-nucleotide transfer RNA is filed under the name Asperula laevigata. Its description in RNAcentral is "partial tRNA-Leu". The record is from RNAcentral. RNAcentral also lists the same sequence under 15 other names. Lineage: Eukaryota; Viridiplantae; Streptophyta; Magnoliopsida; Gentianales; Rubiaceae.